This 253-nucleotide ribosomal RNA is filed under the name uncultured bacterium. RNAcentral describes it as "partial 16S ribosomal RNA". It matches the Rfam family "Bacterial small subunit ribosomal RNA", at positions 524 to 776 of the family's 1533-position model. The record is from RNAcentral.
GACGAACUGUCCAAACGUUGUUCGGAAUCACUGGGCUUAAAGGGCGCGUAGGCGGUCCAUCAAGUCAGGGGUGAAAUCCUGCAGCUUAACUGUAGAAGUGCCUCUGAUACUGAUGGUCUUGAGGGAGGUAGGGGUGUGCGGAACUUCCAGUGGAGCGGUGAAAUGCGUUGAUAUUGGAAGGAACGCCGGUGGCGAAAGCGGCGCACUGGACCUCUUCUGACGCUGAGGCGCGAAAGCCAGGGGAGCAAACGGG